GUUGAACGCUGGCGGCAGGCCUAACACAUGCAAGUCGAACGGUAGCACAGAGAGCUUGCUCUCGGGUGACGAGUGGCGGACGGGUGAGUAACGUCUGGGAAACUGCCCGAUGGAGGGGGAUAACUACUGGAAACGGUAGCUAAUACCGCAUAACGUCGCAAGACCAAAGUGGGGGACCUUCGGGCCUCACACCAUCGGAUGUGCCCAGAUGGGAUUAGCUAGUAGGUGGGGUAAUGGCUCACCUAGGCGACGAUCCCUAGCUGGUCUGAGAGGAUGAGCGGCCACACUGGAACUGAGACACGGUCCAGACUACUACGGGAGGCAGCAGUGGGCAGUAUUGCACAAUGGGCGCAAGCCUGAUGCAGCCAUGCCGCGUGUAUGAAGAAGGCCUUCGGGUUGUAAAGUACUUUCAGCGGGGAGGAAGGCGGUGAAGUUAAUAACUUCACCGAUUGACGUUACCCGCAGAAGAAGCACCGGCUAACUCCGUGCCAGCCGCCGCGGUAA
Molecule: ribosomal RNA, 504 nt
Filed under: uncultured bacterium
Lineage: Bacteria
Description: partial 16S ribosomal RNA
Rfam family: Bacterial small subunit ribosomal RNA
Source: RNAcentral